CUGCAUGAAGAUUAUUCUGUUCACUGUUAAGUGCUUCUGUGGCCAUUGCAACAUGCUGGAGAGGAGUCCUGGGCUCUUGGGAGACGGCUGCUACUACCAGCCUGAAAGAAAGUGUCUGAUUUUCCCUUCCCUCGAGAGAAAAGGAAAUGACUGCAAUUUUGCAGCUAUAAUGAAGACAGGAAAGAAAAAACAUGUUCACUGUCUGUGUGGUUAUCGAACAAAGAAGUAUGAGGACAUAUGGUGGCAGAGUGUGAAACAGUAUAUUACAAGCCUCCAGAUAAAAGCACUUAAAGAAAGGUUCCUUCUGCACAGCGACUUGCUGCUCCUGGGGCUGUCGCAGUAUGCCACUUCUUGUUUUUGGAACAUCUUCUCCAGCUGUUCAUGGCAAGAGUCUUCCCCUGGUGCUGCUGCUGGUUCAGUCUUUGUUGGAAUGACUGAAAUGUGUAUGCUCUUGGAAAAACAUGUGUAGUGAUGGUCCAGGCAGUCCCUUGGUGGCAGCUUGAGGGAAAUAAAAAAAAAAAGAAAAGGAGGACA
RNAcentral lists this long non-coding RNA (534 nucleotides) under Anser brachyrhynchus (Pink-footed goose). RNAcentral describes it as "lncRNA (ENSABRG00000001403.1)". Lineage: Eukaryota; Metazoa; Chordata; Aves; Anseriformes; Anatidae. The record is from RNAcentral.